This 522-nucleotide ribosomal RNA is filed under the name Bayerotrochus teramachii. RNAcentral describes it as "12S ribosomal RNA". It matches the Rfam family "Bacterial small subunit ribosomal RNA", at positions 741 to 1521 of the family's 1533-position model. Lineage: Eukaryota; Metazoa; Mollusca; Gastropoda; Pleurotomariida; Pleurotomariidae. The record is from RNAcentral.
UAAGUUUGAGGCCACGAAGUUUUUGGUAGAGACCGGGAUUAGAUACCCCGUUAUUUGAAAAUGUAAAUAUUAGUGUAUGCUUACCCGGGUAGUACGAGCUCAUGCUUAAAACUCAAAGAACUUGGCGGUGUCUUAAAUCUUUUUAGGGGAAUUUGUUCUAUAAUCGAUAAUCCGCGGGUUACCUUACUUUUUUUUGUAUAGACAGCUUGUAUACCGUCGUCGUCAGGUUACUUUUUGAAAAUCUUGAAGUUAGCUAGUAGGUUUAUUAGUUUUAUGGCUAUUAUCCUUUACGUCAGAUCAAGGUGCAGUUAAUGGAGAAGUAGAAAUGAAUUACAAUAAAUUAGUUUUUAUACGGAAUUUUCUUUGAAAAUAGGGGGAUGAAGGUGGACUUAAAAGUAAAUGUGAUAUUAGAAAGAUUUGUUGAAUUUGGCUUUAAGACGUGCACACAUCGCCCGUCGCUCUCGUUGAGAAAUGAGAUAAGUCGUAACAUAGUAAGGGUACCGGAAGGUGUUCUUAGUUGAG